RNAcentral lists this long non-coding RNA (3270 nucleotides) under Salmo salar (Atlantic salmon). RNAcentral's name for it is "lncRNA (ENSSSAG00000084108.1)". The record is from RNAcentral. Lineage: Eukaryota; Metazoa; Chordata; Actinopteri; Salmoniformes; Salmonidae.
CUGUGGUUGUUGUGGGAGAAACGAUGGUUGUUGUUACUUCAUUUGUCGAUGAAAUUGGAGCAUCUGUGGUUGUUGUGGCAGCAGCUGUGGUUGUUGUAGGAUCAGCUGUGGUUGUGCUAGCGGCUGCUGUGAUCGUGGUGGUUGCUGCUGCUGUUGUAGUCGAAGCAGCUGUGGUUGUUGUGACCGGAAUUGUGGUAGUCAUCAUGCCAUCUGUAGUGGUCGUGGGGGCAGCUGUGGUUGUUGAAUGAUUAACGGUGGUAGUUGUGAUGCCUGCUGUGGUGACCGUUGCGGCACCUGUGUUUGUGGUGGCAGCACCUGUGGUUGUUAUGGGAGAAACUGUUAUUGUUGUGACUCCAUUUGUGGUAGUUGUUGGAGCAUCUGUGGUUGUUGUGCGAGAAACUGUGGCUGUUGUGACUCCAUUUGUGGUUGGAACAUCUGUGGUUGUCAUGGCAGCAGCUGUGGUUGUGGUGGCAGCACCUGUGGUUGUUGUGGGAGAAACUAUGGUUGUUGUGACUCCAUUUGUUGUUGUAGUUGGAGCAUCUGUGGUUGUUGUGGCAGCAGCUGUGGUUGUUGUGGGAGAAACUGUGGAUGUUGUGACUCUAUUUGUCGUUGUAAUUGGAGUAUCUGUGGUUGUCAUGGCAGCAGCUGUGGUUGUGGUGGCUGCUGCAGCAGUUGCAGGUGUUGUUGUCAUGGGAGGAGCUGUGGUGGUCAUUAUGGACGUAGCUGAGGUUGUAGUUGGAGCAGCUGUGGUUGUUGAAUGAGCAACUGUGCUAGUUGUGAUGCCUGCUGUGGUGACCGUGGCGGCACCUGUUGUUGUGGUGGCAGCACCUGUGGUUGUUGUGGGAGAAACUAUGGUUGUUGUGACUCCAUUUGUUGUUGUAGUUGGAGCAGCUGUGGUUGUUGUGGGAGAAACUGUGGAUGUUGUGACUCUAUUUGUCGUAAUUGGAGUAUCUGUGGUUGUCAGGGCAGCAGCUGUGGUUGUAGUAGGAUCAGCAGUGGUUGUGCUAGCGGCUGCUGUGAUUGUGGUGGUUGCUGCUGUUGUUGUAGUCGAAGCAUCUGUGGUUGUUGUGGCAUCAGCUCCGGUUGUUGUGGGAGAAACUGUGGAUGUGCUCACUAUAUUUGUGGUUGUAAUUGGAGCAUCUGUGGUUGUCAUGACAGCAGCUGUGGUUGUAGAUGGAACACUAGAGGUUGUGCUGGCGGCUGCUGUGAUUGUGGUGGUUGCUGCUGUUGUUGUAGUCGAAGCAGCUGUGGUUGUUGUGACCGGAAUUGUGGUAGUCAUCAUGCCAUCUGUAGUGGUCGUGGGGGCAACCGUGGUUGUGGUUGCAGCGGUAGCUGUGGUUGUAGUUGGAGCACGUGUGGUUGUUGUUGCAGCGACUGUGGUUGUGGUGGCUGCUGCAGCAGUUGCAGGUGUUGUUGUCAUGGCAGGAGCUGUGGUGGUCAUCAUGGACAUUGUUGAGGUUGUAGAUGGAGCAGCUGUGGUUGUUGAAUGAGCAACUGGGGUAGUUGUGAUGCCUGCUGUGGUGACCGUGGCGGCACCUGUGGUUGUGGUGGCAGCACCUGUGGUUGUUGUGGGAGAAACGAUGGUUGUUGUUACUCCAUUUGUCAAUGAAAUUGGAGCAUCUGUGGUUGUUGUGGCAGCAGCUGUGGUUGUUGUAGGAUCAGCAGUGGUUGUGCUAGCGGCUGCUGUGAUCAUGGUGGUUGCUGCUGCUGUUGUUGUAGUCGAAGCAGCUGUGGUUGUUGUGACCGGAAUUGUGGUAGUCAUCAUGCCAUCUGUAGUGGUCGUGGGGGCAGCUGUGGUUGUGGUUGCAGCAGUAGCUGUGGUUGUAGUUGGAGCACCUGUGGUUGUUCUUGCAGCAACUGUGGUUGUGGUGGCUGCUGCAGCAGUUGCAGGUGUCGUUGUCAUGGCAGGAGCUGUGGUGGUCAUCAUGGACAUUGUUGAGGUUGUAGUUGGAGCAGCUGUGGUUUGUGAAUGAGCAACUGUGUUAGUUGUGAUGCCUGCUGUGGUGACUGUGGCGGCAGGUGUCGUUGUGGUGGAAGCACCUGUGGUUGUUGUGGGAGACACUAUUGUUGUUAUGACUCCAUUUGUUGUUGUAGUUGGAGCAUGUGUGGUUGUUGUGGCAUCAGCUCCGGUUGUUGUGGGAGAAACUGUGGAUGUGCUGGCUAUAUUUGUGGUUGUAAUUGGAGCAUCUGUGGUUGUCAUGAGGGCAGCUGUGGUUGUAGAUGGAGCAGCAACGGUUGUGGUGGCGGCUGCUGUGAUUGUGGUGGUUGCUGCUGUUGUUGUAGUCGAAGCAGCUGUGGUUGUUGUGACCGGAAUUGUGGUAGUCAUCAUGCCAUCUGUAGUGGUCGUUUGGGCAGCUGUGGUUGUGGUUGCAGCAGUAGCUGUGGUUGUAGUUGGAGCACCUGUGGUUGUUGUUGCAGCGACUGUGGUUGUGGUGGCUGCUGCAGCAGUUGCAGGUGUUGUUGUCAUGGGAGGAGCUGUGGUGGUCAUUAUGGACGUAGCUGAGGUUGUAGUUGGAGCAGCUGUGGUUGUUGAAUGAGCAAUUUCGCUAGUUGUGAUGCCUGCUGUGGUGACCGUGGCGGCACCUGUCGUUGUGGUGGCAGCACCUGUGGUUGUUGUGGGAGAAACUAUGGUUGUUGUGACUCCAUUUGUUGUUGUAGUUGGAGCAGCUGUGGUUGUUGUGGGAGAAACUGUGGAUGUUGUGACUCUAUUUGUCGUUGUAAUUGGAGUAUCUGUGGUUGUCAUGGCAGCAGCUGUGGUUGUAGUAGGAUCAGCAGUGGUUGUGCUGGCGGCUGCUGUGAUUGUGGUGGUUGCUGCUGUUGUUGUAGUCGAAGCAGCUGUGGUUGUUGAAUGAGCAACUGGGGUAGUUGUGAUGCCUGCUGUGGUGACUGUGGCGGCACCUGUGGUUGUGGUGGCAGCACCUGUGGUUGUGGUGGCAGCACCUGUGGUUGUUGUGGGAGAAACGAUGGUUAUUGUUACUCCAUUUGUCGAUGAAAUUGGAGCAUCUGUGGUUGUUGUGGCAGCAGCUGUGGUUGUUGUAGGAUCAGCAGUGGUUGUGCUAGCGGCUGCUGUGAUCGUGGUGGUUGCUGCUGCUGUUGUAGUCGAAGCAGCUGUGGUUGUUGUGACCGGAAUUGUGGUAGUCAUCAUGCCAUCUGUAGUGGUCGUGGGGGCAGCUGGGGUUGUGGUUGCAGCAGUAGCUGUGGUUGUAGUUGGAGCACCUGUGGUUGUUCUUGCAGCGACUGUGGUUGUGGUGGCUGCUGCAGCAGUUGCAG